RNAcentral lists this ribosomal RNA (466 nucleotides) under uncultured bacterium. Its description in RNAcentral is "partial 16S ribosomal RNA". It matches the Rfam family "Bacterial small subunit ribosomal RNA", at positions 28 to 507 of the family's 1533-position model. The record is from RNAcentral.
GACGAACGCUGGCGGCGCGCCUAACACAUGCAAGUCGAACGAGCGAGAGAGAGCUUGCUUUCUUGAGCGAGUGGCGAACGGGUGAGUAACGCGUGAGGAACCUGCCUCAAAGAGGGGGACAACAGUUGGAAACGACUGCUAAUACCGCAUAAGCCCACGGUGCCGCCUGGCACAGAUGGAAAAGGAGCAAUCCGCUUUGAGAUGGCCUCGCGUCCGAUUAGCUAGUUGGUGAGGUAACGGCCCACCAAGGCGACGAUCGGUAGCCGGACUGAGGGGUUGACCGGCCACAUUGGGACUGAGACACGGCCCAGACUCCUACGGGAGGCAGCAGUGGGGAAUAUUGCACAAUGGGGGAAACCCUGAUGCAGCGACGCCGCGUGGAGGAAGAAGGUCUUCGGAUUGUAAACUCCUGUUGUUGGGGAAGAUAAUGACGGUACCCAACAAGGAAGUGACGGCUAACUACGUG